This 391-nucleotide ribosomal RNA is filed under the name uncultured bacterium. Its description in RNAcentral is "partial 16S ribosomal RNA". It matches the Rfam family "Bacterial small subunit ribosomal RNA", at positions 523 to 918 of the family's 1533-position model. The record is from RNAcentral.
AUACGGAGGAUCCGAGCGUUAUCCGGAUUUAUUGGGUUUAAAGGGUGCGCAGGCGGCCAUUUAAGUCAGCGGUUAAAUCGUGGGGCUCAACCCCAUUCUGCCGUUGAUACUGGGUGGCUUGAUUGCGGUCGAGGUUGGCGGAAUUCGUUGUGUAGCGGUGAAUGCAUAGAUAUGACGAAGAACACCGAUUGCGUAGGCAGCUGACCAGACCGCAAAUGACGCUCAUGCACGAAAGUGCGGGGAUCGAACAGGAUUAGAUACCCUGGUAGUCCGCACAGUAAACGAUGAAUACUUGUUUUCGGCGAUAUAAUGUCGGAGGCAAAGCGAAAGCGAUAAGUAUUCCACCUGGGGAGUACGCCGGCAACGGUGAAACUCAAAUGAAUUGACGGGG